GAGUCCCCACAUUAAAAUGCUCUCAGACCAUACCAUUGAUGGUGGACCCUUGUGAGCUGCAUGAAGACCAAGUGGUCCAUAGUGGAUCAACAGUUAAUAGAUUGAUUCAGUGAAUUUUUGAUUUUAAUUUUAAAUUUAUUUUAAUUCUAUUUUUUGUUCCGUUUGAUCUUUUUAAGCCUGCAGAUUGAGCUUUUUAUGUUGGUGCACCUUUUUUUUAUAAAAUAUAUGAAAAAAUAUUAAUUUUAAAUAAAUAAAGAUAAUUUGAUCCAUAAAUUAAUGCUUAUAUGGAUAAAUUUACACAUUUAUCACAU
RNAcentral lists this long non-coding RNA (311 nucleotides) under Elaeis guineensis (African oil palm). Its description in RNAcentral is "long non-coding RNA (EGUI_LNC048399)". Lineage: Eukaryota; Viridiplantae; Streptophyta; Magnoliopsida; Arecales; Arecaceae. The record is from RNAcentral.